Molecule: ribosomal RNA, 498 nt
Filed under: uncultured bacterium
Lineage: Bacteria
Description: partial 16S ribosomal RNA
Rfam family: Bacterial small subunit ribosomal RNA
Source: RNAcentral
GACGAACGCUGGCGGCGUGCCUAAUACAUGCAAGUCGAACGAGAGCGACCGGUGCUUGCUCUGGUCAAUCUAGUGGCGAACGGGUGAGUAACACGUGGGUAACCUGCCCAUCAGAGGGGGAUAACAUCCGGAAACGGAUGCUAAAACCGCAUAGGUCUUCGAGCCGCAUGGCUUGAAGAGGAAAAGAGGCGCAAGCUUCUGCUGAUGGAUGGACCCGCGGUGCAUUAGCUAGUUGGUGAGGUAACGGCUCACCAAGGCCGUGAUGCAUAGCCGACCUGAGAGGGUGAUCGGCCACAUUGGGACUGAGACACGGCCCAAACUCCUACGGGAGGCAGCAGUAGGGAAUCUUCCGCAAUGGGCGCAAGUCUGACGGAGCAACGCCGCGUGAGUGAAGAAGGUUUUCGGAUCGUAAAACUCUGUUGUUAGAGAAGAACAAGUGCUAGAGUAACUGUUAGCGCCUUGACGGUAUCUAACCAGAAAGCCACGGCUAACUACGUG